UGACUGUUUUCUAUCAUAUGUGACGGUA
This 28-nucleotide small RNA is filed under the name Bombyx mori (domestic silkworm). RNAcentral describes it as "ovarian small RNA-8181". Lineage: Eukaryota; Metazoa; Arthropoda; Insecta; Lepidoptera; Bombycidae. The record is from RNAcentral.